Molecule: ribosomal RNA, 460 nt
Filed under: uncultured bacterium
Lineage: Bacteria
Description: partial 16S ribosomal RNA
Rfam family: Bacterial small subunit ribosomal RNA
Source: RNAcentral
CCUACGGGUGACAGCAGUGAGGAAUAUUGGUCAAUGGACGAAAGUCUGAACCAGCCAAGUCGCGUGAGGGAUGACUGCCCUAUGGAUUGUAAACCUCUUUUAUCUGGGAACAAAAUGUUCCACGUGUGGGACUUUGCGAGUACCUUAUGAAAAAGGAUCGGCUAACUCCGUGCCAGCAGCCGCGGUAAUACGGAGGAUCCGAGCGUUAUCCGGAUUUAUUGGGUGUAAAGGGGGCGUAGGUGGAUUGUUAAGUCAGGUGGGAAAGUUUGCGGCUCAACCGUAACAUUGCAGUUGAAACUGGCAGUCUUGAGUAAAGGAGAGGUGUGCGGAAUGCGUGGUGUAGCGGUGAAAUGCUUAGAUAUCACGAAGAACUCCGAUUGCGAAGGCAGUUUACUGGACUUCAACUGACACUGAUGCACGAAAGUGUGGGUAUCGAACAGGAUUAGAUACCCGUGUAGUC